Non-coding RNA from Oryza glumipatula, 204 nucleotides. The record is from Rfam. Lineage: Eukaryota; Viridiplantae; Streptophyta; Magnoliopsida; Poales; Poaceae.
AAUAAAUACAGUUUUACAUUAUUCAUGUUCAACAUUUGACCAUUCGUCUUAUUUGGAAAAAUUUUAUGAUUAGUAUUUUUAUUGUUAUUAGAUAAUAAAAUAUGAAUAGUACUUUAUGAAUAACUUUUUUUUAAAAAAAUUUAUAGAUUUUUAAAAUAAGACGGACAGAGAAAUGUUGAACACGGAUAUCACGCUGUAUUUAUU